RNAcentral lists this ribosomal RNA (420 nucleotides) under Fusobacteriota bacterium. RNAcentral's name for it is "Fusobacteria bacterium partial 16S ribosomal RNA". It matches the Rfam family "Bacterial small subunit ribosomal RNA", at positions 355 to 776 of the family's 1533-position model. Lineage: Bacteria; Fusobacteriati; Fusobacteriota. The record is from RNAcentral.
UGGGGGAUAUUGCACAAUGGGCGAAAGCCUGAUGCAGCGACGCCGCGUGGGGGAUGAAGGCCUUCGGGUUGUAAACUUCUUUUGCUCUGAACAAGGCAUGCCUUUGGGGUGUGGUGAGUGUAGGGGUUGAUUAGCGCCGGCUAACUACGUGCCAGCAGCCGCGGUAAUACGUAGGGCGCGAGCGUUGUCCGGAAUUAUUGGGCGUAAAGGGCUUGUAGGUGGCUGGCUGCGUCUGUCGUGAAAACUCAUGGCUUAACUGUGGGUUUGCGGUGGGUACGGGCUGGCGUGAGUGCAGUAGGGGAGGCUGGAAUUCCUGGUGUAGCGGUGGAAUGCGCAGAUAUCAGGAGGAAUACCGGUGGCGAAGGCGGGUUGCUGGGCUGUUACUGACGCUGAGGAGCGAAAGCGUGGGGAGCGAACAGG